Molecule: long non-coding RNA, 274 nt
Organism: Apodemus sylvaticus (European woodmouse)
Lineage: Eukaryota; Metazoa; Chordata; Mammalia; Rodentia; Muridae
Exons: 3
Source: RefSeq, a predicted model, not a curated record
CAUGCCCCGGGGCUGGCGGGUUGAGGCGGUGCUCCCCUCCGGGAGGCCCGGGAACAUUUAAAAGUCUGUCCUCUCCUAGCCACCUCUGACUUAGAACAGUGUGCUCCGUCUCUCACUUGGCACACGUGAAAAUACCUCCAGAUUAACAAAUGGUCCCUGAGAAGGAAAAUCAUGCCCAGACAGAGCUACUGAAAACACAGAAGACUUACUUUCAUCAUCUGAAUCAAAUCCAAAGAGUGUCUGACAUUUCUUUUGUGCAAGGUGAGCCUCAAGU